GUAAAUACAGGACAGUGGAAAUACCAUGAGCAGGCAGGUGGUAUUGAGGCUUAGCCAUUGCACUCUGUAGUGCUGACCUGAUUUCCACAAUGUGGGAAACAUGACUGCAUAAUUUGUGGUAGUAGGGAACUGCAUUCUCACUCUCCCCUG
Small nuclear RNA from Bison bison bison, 150 nucleotides. Its record names the gene U1. It matches the Rfam family "U1 spliceosomal RNA". From Rfam's summary of the family: U1 is a small nuclear RNA (snRNA) component of the spliceosome (involved in pre-mRNA splicing). Its 5' end forms complementary base pairs with the 5' splice junction, thus defining the 5' donor site of an intron. There are significant differences in sequence and secondary structure between metazoan and yeast U1 snRNAs, the latter being much longer (568 nucleotides as compared to 164 nucleotides in human). The record is from Ensembl. Lineage: Eukaryota; Metazoa; Chordata; Mammalia; Artiodactyla; Bovidae.